UGGUGAAGUGGUUCAAGCAUUUGGCUGCUAACCAAAUGGUUGGUGGUUUGAAUCCACC
RNAcentral lists this transfer RNA (58 nucleotides) under Loxodonta africana (African savanna elephant). It matches the Rfam family "tRNA", at positions 1 to 63 of the family's 71-position model. Rfam says of the family: Transfer RNA (tRNA) molecules are approximately 80 nucleotides in length. Their secondary structure includes four short double-helical elements and three loops (D, anti-codon, and T loops). The record is from Rfam by way of RNAcentral. Lineage: Eukaryota; Metazoa; Chordata; Mammalia; Proboscidea; Elephantidae.